GCCUGGAUGGUGGAAUCGGUAGACACCCAGGACUUAAAAUCCUGUGAGUUCACGCUCGUGCGGGUUCAAGUCCCGCUCCAGGUACCA
This 87-nucleotide transfer RNA is filed under the name Leptospira inadai serovar Lyme. Its description in RNAcentral is "tRNA-Leu". It matches the Rfam family "tRNA". From Rfam's summary of the family: Transfer RNA (tRNA) molecules are approximately 80 nucleotides in length. Their secondary structure includes four short double-helical elements and three loops (D, anti-codon, and T loops). Lineage: Bacteria; Pseudomonadati; Spirochaetota; Leptospiria; Leptospirales; Leptospiraceae. The record is from RNAcentral. RNAcentral also lists the same sequence under 17 other names.